Molecule: transfer RNA, 76 nt
Filed under: Clostridiaceae bacterium
Lineage: Bacteria; Bacillati; Bacillota; Clostridia; Eubacteriales; Clostridiaceae
Also listed under: 1 other name
Description: tRNA-Thr
Rfam family: tRNA
About the family: Transfer RNA (tRNA) molecules are approximately 80 nucleotides in length. Their secondary structure includes four short double-helical elements and three loops (D, anti-codon, and T loops).
Source: RNAcentral
GCUGGUGUGGCACAGUUGGCAGCGCAAUUGAUUCGUAAUCAAUAGGUCAGGGGUUCAAAUCCCCUCACCAGCUCCA